CCUUCACAAAUUUAAUCUAAAAAUUUAUUGCUAUUAGGUUAUAUAAAAACACCACCUCCUGCUAGCAANUUUGUUGUACUUUUUUUAAGAAUGUUGAAGGUUUGAUUUUACUAGACUUGUAAAACUAUUGUUUUCUUAUCAAUAAUAUCAUGAGUACUAGACUAUAGAUCUUAGAGCCUGUUUGGUUCAGCUUUUCACCACUAAGACGUGAUUCUACAACCCUCAAAAGUGAAAAGCUGAAUUUUCAAUGGUGUUUGGUUUGGCUUUUAAGAAUUGAUUCUAUCCUCCAAAAGCAAUUAUCCAUGAAGCUACAAAUCCUAACUUUUGGCUUUUGUAGAAUCAAUUCUACAUUAAACUAUUAUCAAUUCCAUAACUACCCUCUUAAUUAUCAUCAAUUUUUAUCACCCUUUCUCCAACCAUAUUUGAUUUUAUCUACAUGGAACCUUAAAUUCAUUCAAUCCACUGUCAACUUUUCUCUAGCUAGAACUCAACCACCCUUCACAAAUUUAAUCUAAAAAUUUAUUGCUAUUAGGUUAUAUAACAACACCACCUCCUGCUAGCAAAUAUUGUGCUCAAGAGAACAACAAAAAGGAAAAAUUCUGCUCAAAAGAUAACAACAACAACAAGGUAAUUUGGCAUUUUUGAGUGAUUUUUACUUUGAUUUGCUUACUUGUUUGUAUUAAAUUUAACCUUUUUUCUUUGC
RNAcentral lists this long non-coding RNA (703 nucleotides) under Medicago truncatula (barrel medic). Its description in RNAcentral is "long non-coding RNA (MTRU_LNC008244)". Lineage: Eukaryota; Viridiplantae; Streptophyta; Magnoliopsida; Fabales; Fabaceae. The record is from RNAcentral.